CGAACGCUGGCGGCAUGCCUAACACAUGCAAGUCGAACGAGACCUUCGGGUCUAGUGGCGCACGGGUGCGUAACGCGUGGGAACCUGCCCUUAGGUUCGCAAUAACUCCCCGAAAGGGGUGCUAAUACCGGAUAAUGUCUUCGGACCAAAGAUUUAUCGCCUUUGGAUGGGCCCGCGUUGGAUUAGCUAGUUGGUAGGGUAAAAGCCUACCAGGGCGACGAUCCAUAGCUGGUCUGAGAGGAUGAUCAGCCACACUGGGACUGAGACACGGCCCAGACUCCUACGGGAGGCAGCAGUGGGGAAUAUUGGACAAUGGGCGAAAGCCUGAUCCAGCAAUGCCGCGUGAGUGAUGAAGGCCUUAGGGUUGUAAAGCUCUUUUACCCGGGAUGAUAAUGACAGUACCGGGAGAAUAAGCUCCGGCUAACUCCGUG
RNAcentral lists this ribosomal RNA (431 nucleotides) under uncultured bacterium. Its description in RNAcentral is "partial 16S ribosomal RNA". It matches the Rfam family "Bacterial small subunit ribosomal RNA", at positions 30 to 507 of the family's 1533-position model. The record is from RNAcentral.